Molecule: ribosomal RNA, 250 nt
Filed under: uncultured bacterium
Lineage: Bacteria
Description: partial 16S ribosomal RNA
Rfam family: Bacterial small subunit ribosomal RNA
Source: RNAcentral
UACGGAGGGUGCAAGCGUUAAUCGGAAUUACUGGGCGUAAAGCGUGCGCAGGCGGUCCGCUAAGACAGAUGUGAAAUCCCCGGGCUUAACCUGGGAACUGCAUUUGUGACUGGCGGCUAGAGUAUGGCAGAGGGGGUAGAAUUCCACGUGUAGCAGUGAAAUGCGUAGAGAUGUGGAGGAAUACCGAUGGCGAAGGCAGCCCCCUGGGCCAAUACUGACGCUCAUGCACGAAGCGUGGGGAGCAAACAGG